Molecule: long non-coding RNA, 1087 nt
Organism: Oncorhynchus masou masou (cherry salmon)
Lineage: Eukaryota; Metazoa; Chordata; Actinopteri; Salmoniformes; Salmonidae
Exons: 8
Source: RefSeq, a predicted model, not a curated record
GAAAGAGACGAGCAUAGGUUCCUCCCAAGAUGCCACCCCCUUCAUUCAAGUGUCUGGCAGCACUGUGUUCCUGUUAGAGCCACCAGCACAAGCACCAGACGAUGCUGAUCCAGGUGAAGGCCCCAGUGCAGCAGCAACAGCACAUGAUGGAGACGAUGAUGAGGAGGAGACCAUCUCUCUGGAUUCCAGAAGGCAUGAGGACCCAGAUGCUAUACAGUGGGAAAACCAGCCUGGCAACAUAAGCUCACAAGCUAUCAGAAAGUUGUAUGGCAACCACCUCCGGCGCCAAAUAGAACUGGCAGACAUGGACAUUCAGUACAAGAAGAAAAAGAUGGAAAAUCUUGCACUGGAGUCCGAAAUAAAAAAGAGGACAAUUAGGAAACUGGACCUUGAAAUAAAAAAACUUGAGAGGGAGCUCCAAGAAGAUGACACAGCUCAAAAUAAAAAUUAGCAAUCAGUACAACCAAGUCAUCGUUAUAAGGCAUCGCCCUCUUUUGCCCACCCCCAGCACCAGGUGUGGCCACUAGCCUAUAUGAAGGCCCAAAAUUGUGUGUUCCUUUCUGCUCUGACAAUGGCAUGCCCAUUCGUGCGAGAUGUGGUGGAUGAAGAAGCACUUGUGCUGAGGAGAGCCUUCAGGCGAGAAAGGGUCUUCAGGGACCGGUUGGACCCACUGGCCUUCCCUGAUGACCAUCUAUAUGAAAGAUACAGGUUUUCUGCAGAUGGCAUCAGGUAUCUAUGCAGACUACUGGGUCCCAGGAUUAAGCACCGCACUGCACGGAGCCAUGCACUGAGUGUGGAGCAAAUGGUUUGUGUGGCCUUGCGCUUUUUUGCUAGUGGAGCCUUCCUGUACUCAGUGGGGGAUGCAGAACAGCUGAACAAGGCCACAAUUUGCCGCACAAUAAGGAGUGUGUGUCUGGCUAUCAAAGCAUUAGCAGAUGUCUUCAUCUCCUUCCCUGGCCACAGAAGACUCUGUGACAUCAAAGAGGAGUUCUAUAGGAUUGCAGAUGGUCUGCAAUGCUGACUGUGUGAUCAGCAAUGUUGUGGCAAAAUGGCCUGGCUCAGUCCAUGACUCCAGAAUCUUUCGGGC